GCCAUAUUAGCUCAGCUGGUAGAGCAACUGACCUGUAAUCAGUAGGUCGGGGGUUCGAAUCCCUCAUAUGGCACCA
This 76-nucleotide transfer RNA is filed under the name Rickettsiales bacterium. RNAcentral describes it as "tRNA-Thr". It matches the Rfam family "tRNA". From Rfam's summary of the family: Transfer RNA (tRNA) molecules are approximately 80 nucleotides in length. Their secondary structure includes four short double-helical elements and three loops (D, anti-codon, and T loops). The record is from RNAcentral. Lineage: Bacteria; Pseudomonadati; Pseudomonadota; Alphaproteobacteria; Rickettsiales.